UACGUAGGGGGCAAGCGUUGUCCGGAAUCAUUGGGCGUAAAGAGCGCGUAGGCGGCCCGAUAAGUCCGCUGUGAAAGUCAAGGGCUUAACCCUUGAAUGCCGGUGGAAACUGUCGGGCUAGAGUCCGGAAGAGGCGAGUGGAACUCCUGGUGUAGCGGUGGAAUGCGCAGAUAUCAGGAAGAACACCGACGGCGAAGGCAGCUCGCUGGGACGGUACUGACGCUGAGGCGCGAAAGCGUGGGGAGCGAACAGG
Molecule: ribosomal RNA, 253 nt
Filed under: uncultured bacterium
Lineage: Bacteria
Description: partial 16S ribosomal RNA
Rfam family: Bacterial small subunit ribosomal RNA
Source: RNAcentral